UACGGAGGGUGCAAGCGUUAUCCGGAUUCACUGGGUUUAAAGGGUGCGUAGGCGGGUUGGUAAGUCCGUGGUGAAAUCCCCAAGCUUAACUUGGGAACUGCCGUGGAUACUAUCAAUCUUGAAUAUCGUGGAGGUAAGCGGAAUAUGUCAUGUAGCGGUGAAAUGCUUAGAUAUGACAUAGAACACCAAUUGCGUAGGCAGCUUACUACACGAUCAUUGACGCUGAGGCACGAAAGCGUGGGGGAGCAAACAGG
This 254-nucleotide ribosomal RNA is filed under the name uncultured bacterium. Its description in RNAcentral is "partial 16S ribosomal RNA". It matches the Rfam family "Bacterial small subunit ribosomal RNA", at positions 524 to 776 of the family's 1533-position model. The record is from RNAcentral.